Molecule: long non-coding RNA, 784 nt
Filed under: Canis lupus familiaris (dog)
Lineage: Eukaryota; Metazoa; Chordata; Mammalia; Carnivora; Canidae
Description: lncRNA (ENSCAFG00000043480.2)
Source: RNAcentral
CCCACCGCAGAGACUUCGCCCUAUCUUGGGCUCAUCCUUCUAGCCAAGAGUCAGUCUCUCUCUCUCUCUCAAACACACACACACACAGGCACACUCGAAUGCACCUGUCUAACCCUUCAGUUGCAGCUCCACGCUCCACCUGAUAGGUCUUUUCAACCUUUGUCAAGUAUCUCAAGACAAGAAUUUCCCAAAGCCCUUCCCCCAAACCCAGGCUUUCCCGGGAGACCCCAGCCCGCUGGAGCAGCAAGAGGAGGCCGAGAGGGAGAGAAACCUCGGGCUCCCUCUGCAAACUUAACCUGCGCAUCGCCCGGAUCCGCGUCUGCGUCCGAGGACCCAGUCAAAGAAGAGUCAACAGCAGACUGGCGGUUGGAUAACUCAACACCAAUCCCAAUCCUCUCUUCCAAUACCAGUCUCCAGUACAGAGAUUCUCUGAUGCUCAAGAGGCUUGAGGCUAAGGCAUUGGGACCAGCACUGAAAAAGCUGCUUCCCUUGCUGUUAUUGACCAUGGCGUGACAUCAUCAUUCUUCAGAGUGACUGGGAUCUUGGACCCAAGGCCUGGAGGGAGUCAGCUUUUCUGCUGAAAGGUGAACACAGUUUUCUAGAUGGCUCUGAGGCCAGUUCAGUAUAGCUGCAUGAAAAAGAAUAGGAACACCUAUUCUUUCUCUUUAAAAACAUUCUUUAGAAGAACAGUAUAAAAGUAUGAUCCUAUGUACAAAAUUGGCUCUUUGUAUGCCAAAAAGAAAAUAUGUUUAGCCAGACAAGAUGCUUGGCUUUGUUACCCCAA